AGAGUUUGAUCCUGGCUCAGAGUGAACGCUGGCGGUAGGCCUAACACAUGCAAGUCGAACGGCAGCACAGGAGAGCUUGCUCUCUGGGUGGCGAGUGGCGGACGGGUGAGGAAUACAUCGGAAUCUACUCUGUCGUGGGGGAUAACGUAGGGAAACUUACGCUAAUACCGCAUACGACCUACGGGUGAAAGCAGGGGAUCUUCGGACCUUGCGCGAUUGAAUGAGCCGAUGUCGGAUUAGCUAGUUGGCGGGGUAAAGGCCCACCAAGGCGACGAUCCGUAGCUGGUCUGAGAGGAUGAUCAGCCACACUGGAACUGAGACACGGUCCAGACUCCUACGGGAGGCAGCAGUGGGGAAUAUUGGACAAUGGGCGCAAGCCUGAUCCAGCCAUACCGCGUGGGUGAAGAAGGCCUUCGGGUUGUAAAGCCCUUUUGUUGGGAAAGAAGUCCAGCCGGCUAAUACCUGGUUGGGAUGACGGUACCCAAAGAAUAAGCACCGGCUAACUUCGUGCCAGCAGCCGCGGUAAU
This 527-nucleotide ribosomal RNA is filed under the name uncultured bacterium. Its description in RNAcentral is "bacterial SSU rRNA". It matches the Rfam family "Bacterial small subunit ribosomal RNA", at positions 8 to 524 of the family's 1533-position model. The record is from RNAcentral.